UCUAGAACUCGAGAUAUAGGCUGAACACUGAAUAGUAUAUGGGCUGCAGGACAGAUUCCGACUUCUCUGUUGUUGCUACAAUUUGAACUUGAAAAUGGUCUUUUUGAAUCUUGGACUCUGUAUCAAAGUUUUAGGCCUAUGUCUUAACUUUCCAUA
Non-coding RNA from Populus trichocarpa (black cottonwood), 156 nucleotides. The record is from Rfam. NCBI's taxonomy places the organism in Eukaryota, Viridiplantae, Streptophyta, Magnoliopsida, Malpighiales, Salicaceae.